RNAcentral lists this ribosomal RNA (456 nucleotides) under Triticum aestivum (bread wheat). Its description in RNAcentral is "partial small subunit ribosomal RNA". Lineage: Eukaryota; Viridiplantae; Streptophyta; Magnoliopsida; Poales; Poaceae. The record is from RNAcentral.
CCGACCACACCCUGGUUAGAACCAAUGUGGAAAACUCCCAUACCCCUGAAGAUUAAGAUAUUCAUGUGGCAGCUUCUGCUCAAUCGCCUCCCCUCGGGGACUUAGGUACUUAAGCGACACGGACCGGGGAAUGGCAUGUUCCCCCUUUGCGCGGUAUUGGAGGCAGAAACCCACAUCCUAUUCUCAUGUACGACGACGAAGGUGAUGUGGAUGUUCAUACACAAGGUGUUGGGGCCCGACUGGGAGGGCUUGAAGCUUGUGGACUUCCUCCAAUUUAGGGUUACACAGCCAUCACGACAUUGCCGCCUUUUUUGGCUCAUCUUUGCGGCAAUGUCGUGGACAUUAUGGACGACUCGUAAUAAAAUGGUGAUUGAGAAGGUCCUCCCGCGAAAGGCAUCUGACUCGCACUUCAAAUUCCUUGCUUUUCUGCAGCACCGGCACCCGUUAUCGAGGUAG